RNAcentral lists this transfer RNA (75 nucleotides) under Candidatus Saccharimonadota bacterium. Its description in RNAcentral is "tRNA-Gly". It matches the Rfam family "tRNA". From Rfam's summary of the family: Transfer RNA (tRNA) molecules are approximately 80 nucleotides in length. Their secondary structure includes four short double-helical elements and three loops (D, anti-codon, and T loops). The record is from RNAcentral. Lineage: Bacteria; Candidatus Saccharimonadota. RNAcentral also lists the same sequence under 1 other name.
GCGGGUGUCGUAUAACGGCUAUUAUGUUUCCUUCCCAAGGAAGAGACGAGAGUUCGACUCUCUCCACCCGCACCA